CACAGAAUCAAAGUACGACUCUUUCUUGUUGAGCCCUCUCAACCAAGAAAGUAGCCACCAGUUUCUAGUUGGCUUUCUAUCAACCCUUUGAUCCUUGUAGACAAUCGGCAGCCUAACACAAAAUCAAAGUACGACUCUUUCUUGUUGAGACCUCUCACCCAAGAAAGUAGCCACCAGUUUCUAGCUGGGUUUUUAACGUUCGUUUCGUUUCAAAGUAUUGUUACAGAAUGAAUAAAAGAAGUACAAAACAAAAGUCUUCAAUCUUGAUCAAAGUCUUCUCACGAAUCUGGAUAUUCAAUGAUUGUUCAUGAGGAUAACGUCUUUGCUCUCAAGAUUACUUUUUCUUCUUUUUCUUUCAAUGAAUAUAGAUGAUCCUUUAUCUUGAUCUGAAAAAGCAGUAUCAGAUUUGUUAACAAAGUGUAUGUUGAUCUGUAAUCAAAGUUAUCUUGAGUUCUUAGAAAAGUGAAACGUUAUGAUCAAAGUUCUUCUUAGAAAAAGAUUGAAAGACAGUUUAUAUAGUUUCUGAAAAACAACUGCUAAAUCGAUUUCCCAAUCGAUUUAUUAAAGUUAAAACACAUGCUUAAUCGAUUUGCCAAUCGAUUUCGCGAGUCUUGUUUUUCUUUAAUCUUGAAACUAUAUAAGCUAAUCGAUUUACCAAUCGAUUCUUUUAAAACCACUUUUCAGUAAAACAUGUUCAGACUUGUUGGAAUCGAUUGCCUAAUCGAUUUCUGGAAAACUGUUUCAAUAAAAGUAAUUUCAAUCGAUUACUCAAUCGAUGUUCCAAAUCUCAGAGUCGAUGUACAAAAACACAGAGUCGAUUUGGUCACAAUCUCAGAGUUCACUGUGUUGUCAAAAAGUUUAUUUCAAUCGAUU
This 873-nucleotide long non-coding RNA is filed under the name Cicer arietinum (chickpea). RNAcentral describes it as "long non-coding RNA (CARI_LNC002947)". Lineage: Eukaryota; Viridiplantae; Streptophyta; Magnoliopsida; Fabales; Fabaceae. The record is from RNAcentral.